RNAcentral lists this ribosomal RNA (484 nucleotides) under uncultured bacterium. RNAcentral's name for it is "bacterial SSU rRNA". It matches the Rfam family "Bacterial small subunit ribosomal RNA", at positions 30 to 507 of the family's 1533-position model. The record is from RNAcentral.
AUUGAACGCUGGCGGCAUGCUUUACACAUGCAAGUCGAACGGCAGCACGGGAGCAAUCCUGGUGGCGAGUGGCGAACGGGUGAGUAAUAUAUCGGAACGUGCCCAGUCGUGGGGGAUAACGUAGCGAAAGCUACGCUAAUACCGCAUACGAUCUACGGAUGAAAGCGGGGGAUCGCAAGACCUCGCGCGAUUGGAGCGGCCGAUAUCAGAUUAGCUAGUUGGUGGGGUAAAAGCUCACCAAGGCGACGAUCUGUAGCUGGUCUGAGAGGACGACCAGCCACACUGGAACUGAGACACGGUCCAGACUCCUACGGGAGGCAGCAGUGGGGAAUUUUGGACAAUGGGCGCAAGCCUGAUCCAGCAAUGCCGCGUGCAGGAUGAAGGCCUUCGGGUUGUAAACUGCUUUUGUACGGAACGAAACGGUGAGCUCUAAUAAAGCUUGCUAAUGACGGUACCGUAAGAAUAAGCACCGGCUAACUACGUG